This 1198-nucleotide long non-coding RNA is filed under the name Homo sapiens (human). RNAcentral's name for it is "HSALNT0201046". The record is from RNAcentral. Lineage: Eukaryota; Metazoa; Chordata; Mammalia; Primates; Hominidae.
GGCUGCUGAAGACAAAAAUAAGCCUCAAGAGAGAAUACCAUUUGACCGUGAUAAAGAUCUCAAGGUUAAUCGGUUUGAUGAAGCUCAGAAAAAAGCCCUAAUAAAAAAAUCUAGAGAACUAAACACCAGAUUUUCACACGGCAAAGGCAAUAUGUUUUUAUAAGGGGAUUUCCCUGUGCAAUGAAGAAAAGUUGAAGAAUACUCUUUGUCCAUCUUUAUUUCUUUGUUUUUGGCUUCUUAAGAUUAGAGAUUACUUUAAUCUUAAAAAACAUACAAAUUUACCUUGUUCUGUAUGUCCUUUUAAGGUCAUGUGGAAACAUAAAACGAAUGUUUUUUAUGUAGAACAGAAUAUUCUAUGUGCCUUUAGCUUCUGUGGAAGUAUGGGGAAUUAUGGGCUUUUCUUCAAAUAAUUAUUUUAAGAGGCUUCCAUUCCCCCUGAUUUUUGUGGUGUCUCACAAGUACCCUCUAAGGUCUGGUCAGGACUGACCACCAAAUCUCUACCACAGCCUGGACCUCCUUGUGAAAUAUACCUAACCUGCCCUAGAGUCAGUGUGUCAAGUCCUUACUGUAAAUCCAUGACUUUGAAAUUUGUUGUUUUUUCCCUUUAAACUGCAGCCAGUGAAUACAAAUUUACUUGAAAAUAGAGGGUAUGGGGUUUUGCCUGUUUUGUAAUCAGUUUGCUUGUUUUAGCACUCAGGGCUUUUUAUUUGUUAUUUAAUUUUUUAAUUGUUUUUAAGUCAGAAAGAUCUCUGGGUUAUCUCAUGUGCUAAGGAAAAACUAUUUUGCUUUUUCCAACUUUAAUAGUUAGUAUUUCUAGGGGAGGCAAUCAAGAUAAGAUAUGCCAUUAACUGUUAGCAUUGUGAAAUCUGUAAGACUCAAUCUCUGAUCUCAACCAAAGCUUUCUGAGUCCUGGAACUUUGCUUUGGGACAACUUUACUUUACCCAUUUAUAUGCUGUACUUAACAGUUUGUAGCUAAUUUAUGGGGUCAUAUCUUUUUUUUAGCUAAUUUACGGGGGUCAUAUCAGUCAUGAAUAGCCUUUUUUAAAAAUUUAAUAAUCCCUGAAUACAAAAAUGGAAAUGGAAAAUUUAUAAUCAUAACCCCCCUAAUUGGGAGUAUUAUAAGUUUGUAAUGCUUUAAGCACUGCCUCUUAAGAUGAUAAAUUUAUAAGAUGAGAAAUUCUAUUUAAACUAUUAAAC